Molecule: ribosomal RNA, 425 nt
Filed under: uncultured bacterium
Lineage: Bacteria
Description: partial 16S ribosomal RNA
Rfam family: Bacterial small subunit ribosomal RNA
Source: RNAcentral
GUGAGGAAUUUUGCGCAAUGGGGGCAACCCUGACGCAGCGACGCCGCGUGGAGGACGAAGUCUUUCGGGAUGUAAACUCCUGUCAGUGGGGACGAUAAUGACGGUACCCACAGAGGAAGCACCGGCUAACUCCGUGCCAGCAGCCGCGGUAAGACGGAGGGUGCAAGCGUUGUUCGGAAUUACUGGGCGUAAAUCGUAUGUAGGCGGCAAGUUAAGUUCAAUGUUAAAGCCCACGGCUCAACCGAGGAGAUGCAUUGAAUACUGGCUAGCUAGAGGGUGUUAGAGGAAGACGGAAUUCCCAGUGUAGCGGUGAAAUGCGUAGAUAUUGGGAGGAACAUCGGUAGCGAAAGCGGUCUUCUGGGACAUACCUGACGCUGAGGUACGAAAGCGUGGGGAGCAAACGGGAUUAGAAACCCUUGUAGUCC